GCGCGUGUAGCUCAGUUGGUUAGAGCGCGUCACUGAUAAUGACGAGGUCCGUGGUUCGAGUCCACGCUCGCGCA
Molecule: transfer RNA, 74 nt
Filed under: Candidatus Nealsonbacteria bacterium CG07_land_8_20_14_0_80_39_13
Lineage: Bacteria; Candidatus Nealsoniibacteriota
Description: tRNA-Ile
Rfam family: tRNA
About the family: Transfer RNA (tRNA) molecules are approximately 80 nucleotides in length. Their secondary structure includes four short double-helical elements and three loops (D, anti-codon, and T loops). Further hydrogen bonds mediate the characteristic L-shaped molecular structure. tRNAs have two regions of fundamental functional importance: the anti-codon, which is responsible for specific mRNA codon recognition, and the 3' end, to which the tRNAs corresponding amino acid is attached (by aminoacyl-tRNA synthetases). tRNAs cope with the degeneracy of the genetic code in two manners: having more than one tRNA (with a specific anti-codon) for a particular amino acid; and 'wobble' base-pairing, i.e. permitting non-standard base-pairing at the 3rd anti-codon position.
Source: RNAcentral